RNAcentral lists this unclassified non-coding RNA (255 nucleotides) under uncultured fungus. Its description in RNAcentral is "sequence contains ITS1, 5.8S rRNA gene". The stretch from base 207 to 255 matches the Rfam family "5.8S ribosomal RNA", at positions 1 to 49 of the family's 154-position model. The record is from RNAcentral. Lineage: Eukaryota; Fungi.
UCUCCGUUGGUGAACCAGCGGAGGGAUCAUUGCUGGAACGCGCCCCGGCGCACCCAGAAACCCUUUGUGAACUCAUACCCAUACUGUUGCCUCGGCGCUGGCCGGCCUCCUCACGGGGGCCCCCUGGAGACAGGGAGCAGCCCGCCGGCGGCCAAACCAACUCUUGUUUCUUAGUGAAUCUCUGAGUAAAAAACACAAUGAAUCAAAACUUUCAACAACGGAUCUCUUGGUUCUGGCAUCGAUGAAGAACGCAGC